CCUUCGAGUCCUCCUCCACCCAACGGGCUCCCCGAGGCUCAUAUUUCAACACACUCACAAGGCCCUUCCAACGUGCCCCUCAAGUUAUGAGUUGGAAAUGCCAGCAGGAAUGGAAAAUCCAGGGCACAGCCAGGAGCGCAGUCCGGCGAUACCGUAGAGCAACACAGCCUACCUGCCAUUCUGUGACAACACAGCAAAAAGCUUCCAAAUAUGGGCAGGGAUGGUCCCUAAAGCAGGUCCCAGAGAAUAUGUUCCAGACACCAGCCCCAUGGUCCAGCCACCCAGCUUCUCUCUCACUCCUGAUGUUGCUGAGUUCUUUCAUGCACACCAGCCUUACCAACCUCCAUGCAUCUCUUGAUCUUCUUUCACCACCACAAGCAAAUUAUUUCUCAAUCCUCUUAUCCAAUUUCUCUCUUGAGGGUAG
This is a long non-coding RNA of Heterocephalus glaber (naked mole-rat), 424 nucleotides long. NCBI's taxonomy places the organism in Eukaryota, Metazoa, Chordata, Mammalia, Rodentia, Bathyergidae. The record is from Ensembl.